UGGAUCCAGACUUUGAUCCUGGCUCAGGAUGAACGCUAGCUACAGGCUUAACACAUGCAAGUCGAGGGGCAGCAUAUCGGUAGCUUGCUACUGGUGAUGGCGACCGGCGCACGGGUGAGUAACGCGUAUCCAACCUUCCCAUGACUGGGGAAUAACCUUGCGAAAGUAAGACUAAUACCCCAUGGUUUCCGAGGCGGACAUCCAAUUUGGAAUAAAGAUUCAUCGGUCAUGGAUGGGGAUGCGUCUGAUUAGCUUGUUGGCGGGGUAACAGCCCACCAAGGCGACGAUCAGUAGGGGUUCUGAGAGGAAGGUCCCCCACAUUGGAACUGAGACACGGUCCAAACUCCUACGGGAGGCAGCAGUGAGGAAUAUUGGUCAAUGGACGAGAGUCUGAACCAGCCAAGUAGCGUGCAGGAUGACGGCCCUAUGGGUUGUAAACUGCUUUUAUACGGGAAUAAAGUCAAUCACGUGUGGUUGUUUGUAUGUACCGUAUGAAUAAGGACA
RNAcentral lists this ribosomal RNA (504 nucleotides) under uncultured Bacteroidota bacterium. RNAcentral describes it as "bacterial SSU rRNA". It matches the Rfam family "Bacterial small subunit ribosomal RNA", at positions 1 to 494 of the family's 1533-position model. Lineage: Bacteria; Pseudomonadati; Bacteroidota. The record is from RNAcentral.